Molecule: ribosomal RNA, 445 nt
Filed under: uncultured bacterium
Lineage: Bacteria
Description: partial 16S ribosomal RNA
Rfam family: Bacterial small subunit ribosomal RNA
Source: RNAcentral
GUAAGGAAUAUUGGACAAUGGACGCAAGUCUGAUCCAGCCAUGCCGCGUGAAGGAUUAAGGUCCUCUGGAUUGUAAACUUCUUUUAUAAGGGACGAAAAAAGGCUUUUCUAAGUCGUCUGACGGUACCUUAUGAAUAAGCACCGGCUAACUCCGUGCCAACAGCCGCGGUAAUACGGAGGGUGCAAGCGUUAUCCGGAUUCACUGGGUUUAAAGGGUGCGUAGGCGGGCAGGUAAGUCAGUGGUGAAAUCCUAGAGCUUAACUCUAGAACUGCCAUUGAUACUAUCUGUCUUGAAUAUUGUGGAGGUAAGCGGAAUAUGUCAUGUAGCGGUGAAAUGCUUAGAUAUGACAUAGAACACCUAUUGCGAAGGCAGCUUACUACGCAUAUAUUGACGCUGAGGCACGAAAGCGUGGGGAUCAAACAGGAUUAGAAACCCUGGUAGUCC